RNAcentral lists this ribosomal RNA (464 nucleotides) under uncultured bacterium. RNAcentral's name for it is "partial 16S ribosomal RNA". It matches the Rfam family "Bacterial small subunit ribosomal RNA", at positions 32 to 507 of the family's 1533-position model. The record is from RNAcentral.
AACGCUGGCGGCGUGCUUAACCCAUGCAAGUCGAACGGAAAGGCCCUGCUUUUGUGGGGUGCUCGAGUGGCGAACGGGUGAGUAACACGUGAGUAACCUGCCCUUGACUUUGGGAUAACUUCAGGAAACUGGGGCUAAUACCGGAUAGGAGCUCCUGCUGCAUGGUGGGGGUUGGAAAGUUUCGGCGGUUGGGGAUGGACUCGCGGCUUAUCAGCUUGUUGGUGGGGUAGUGGCUUACCAAGGCUUUGACGGGUAGCCGGCCUGAGAGGGUGACCGGCCACAUUGGGACUGAGAUACGGCCCAGACUCCUACGGGAGGCAGCAGUGGGGAAUAUUGCACAAUGGGCGGAAGCCUGAUGCAGCAACGCCGCGUGCGGGAUGACGGCCUUCGGGUUGUAAACCGCUUUCGCCUGUGACGAAGCGUGAGUGACGGUAAUGGGUAAAGAAGCACCGGCUAACUACGUG